AAAUAAAAUUCUUUAUGGUUUAAUAAUUUAUUAUAAAUUUAUUUUACAUAUAAAUUUUAGUGUUAAAUAUUAAUUAUUUAAAUAAUAAUUAUUUAUUUUGUAGUAAUUAAUAUUAAAAUAUUUAAGAAAUUAAGAUUUAGUAAUAUUUAAAUUAAUAACAAAUUUUGUGCCAGCAGUUGCGGUUAAACAAAAAUUAAAUUAAAUUUUAUUAGUAAUUAAUUAAUAAAUAUUUUUAUAAUAAAAAUUUUAAAUUAUUAGGUGAAAUUUUAAUUUAAUUAAAUUUUAUAUUUAAAUUUAUGAUUUAAUAAAUUUUAAAAAAAACUAGGAUUAGAUACCCUAUUAUUAAAAUUUAAAUUUAUAAUACUAAAAUAGUAAUUAAUUAUUUAUUGAAACUUAAAUAAUUUGGCGGUAUUUUAGUUCAUUUAGAGGAAUCUGUUUAAUAAUUGAUAAUCCACGAAUAAAUUUACUUAAUUUAAUAUUUUGUAUAUCGUUGUUAAAAAAAUAUUUUUAAAAAAAAUUAAUAUUUAAAAAUUUUGAAUUAAUUUAAAUCAGAUCAAGAUGCAGAUUAUAAUUAAGAAUAUAAUGGAUUACAAUAAAUUUAUUUAUACCAAUAUUAAUUUGUAAUAAUUAAUUGAGGGUGGAUUUAAAUGUAAUUUUAUUUAAUUUAUUAAAAUGAUUAAAAAUUAAAAUAUGUACAUAUUGCCCGUCACUUUCAUAUAAUUAUAAUUUAAUUAUAAUAAAUUGAAAUAAGUCGUAACAAAGUAGAGGUACUGGAAAGUGUUUCUAGAAAGAA
Molecule: non-coding RNA, 793 nt
Filed under: Helicoverpa armigera armigera
Lineage: Eukaryota; Metazoa; Arthropoda; Insecta; Lepidoptera; Noctuidae
Source: RNAcentral